UACGUAGGGGCCGAGCGUUGUCCGGAGUUAUUGGGCGUAAAGCGCGCGCAGGCGGCUUGGCGCGCCCGACGUGAAAGCCCCCGGCUUAACCGGGGAGGGUCGUCGGGUACGGCCAGGCUUGAGGGCGGGAGAGGGUGGUGGAAUUCCCGGUGUAGUGGUGAAAUGCGUAGAGAUCGGGAGGAACACCUGUGGCGAAGGCGACUCUUUGGCCUGUAACUGACGCUGAGGCGCGAAAGCGUGGGGAGCAAACAGG
This 253-nucleotide ribosomal RNA is filed under the name uncultured bacterium. RNAcentral's name for it is "partial 16S ribosomal RNA". It matches the Rfam family "Bacterial small subunit ribosomal RNA", at positions 524 to 776 of the family's 1533-position model. The record is from RNAcentral.